RNAcentral lists this ribosomal RNA (425 nucleotides) under uncultured bacterium. RNAcentral's name for it is "partial 16S ribosomal RNA". It matches the Rfam family "Bacterial small subunit ribosomal RNA", at positions 354 to 796 of the family's 1533-position model. The record is from RNAcentral.
GUUAGGAAUAUUGGACAAUGGGCGAAAGCCUGAUCCAGCCAUGCCGCGUGAACGAUGAAGGCCUUCGGGUUGUAAAGUUCUUUAGCCGAUGAUUAUAAUGACUGUAGUCGGAAAAUAAGCCCCGGCUAACUUCGUGCCAGCAGCCGCGGUAAUACGAAGGGGGCGAGCGUUAUUCGGAAUCACUGGGCGUAAAGCGUGCGUAGGCGGUUUUGUAAGUUAGGAGUGAAAGACCAGGGCUCAACCUUGGAAUUGCUCUUAAAACUGCAAGGCUCGAAUCUCGGAGAGGAUAGCGGAAUUUCCAGUGUAGCAGUGAAAUGCGUAGAUAUUGGAAGGAACACCAGUGGCGUAAGCGGCUAUCUGGACGAGUAUUGACGCUGAGGCACGAAAGCGUGGGGAUCAAACAGGAUUAGAUACCCUAGUAGUCC